AUUGAACGCUGGCGGCAGGCUUAACACAUGCAAGUCGAGCGGGGUGAUGGUGCUUGCACUAUCACUUAGCGGCGGACGGGUGAGUAAUGCUUAGGAAUCUGCCUAUUAGUGGGGGACAACAUCUCGAAAGGGAUGCUAAUACCGCAUACGUCCUACGGGAGAAAGCAGGGGAUCACUUGUGACCUUGCGCUAAUAGAUGAGCCUAAGUCGGAUUAGCUAGUUGGUGGGGUAAAGGCCUACCAAGACGACGAUCUGUAGCGGGUCUGAGAGGAUGAGCCGCCACACUGGGACUGAGGAACGGCCCAGACUCCUACGGGAGGCAGCAGUGGGGAAUAUUGGACAAUGGGGGAAACCUGAUCCAGCCAGGCCGCGUGUGUGAAGAAGGCCUUAUGGUUGUAAAGCACUUUAAGCGAGGAGGAGGCUCUUUUGGUUAAUACCCAAGAUGAGUGGACGUUACUCGCAGAAUAAGCACCGGCUAACUCUGUGCCAGCCGCCGCCGUAA
Molecule: ribosomal RNA, 502 nt
Filed under: uncultured bacterium
Lineage: Bacteria
Description: partial 16S ribosomal RNA
Rfam family: Bacterial small subunit ribosomal RNA
Source: RNAcentral